GCUCCGAGUGCGACAGGGUUGGCAUUUUCGUUACGAACGGACGGCAGGGCGGACAUGACCGUUCCGGUUUGAAACCGGAUCGGCGCC
This 87-nucleotide transfer RNA is filed under the name Burkholderia metallica. RNAcentral's name for it is "tRNA-Arg". Lineage: Bacteria; Pseudomonadati; Pseudomonadota; Betaproteobacteria; Burkholderiales; Burkholderiaceae. The record is from RNAcentral.